GUGGGGAAUCUUAGACAAUGGGCGCAAGCCUGAUCUAGCCAUGCCGCGUGAUCGAUGAAGGCCUUAGGGUUGUAAAGAUCUUUCAGUGGGGAAGAUAAUGACUGUACCCACAGAAGAAGCCCCGGCUAACUCCGUGCCAGCAGCCGCGGUAAUACGGAGGGGGCUAGCGUUGUUCGGAAUUACUGGGCGUAAAGCGCACGUAGGCGGAACAGAAAGUCAGAGGUGAAAUCCCAGGGCUCAACCUUGGAACUGCCUUUGAAACUCCUGUUCUUGAGUGCGAGAGAGGUGAGUGGAAUUCCGAGUGUAGAGGUGAAAUUCGUAGAGAUUCGGAGGAACACCAGUGGCGAAGGCGGCUCACUGGCUCGAUACUGACGCUGAGGUGCGAAAGCGUGGGGAGCAAACAGGAUUAGAUACCCUUGUAGUCC
Molecule: ribosomal RNA, 425 nt
Filed under: uncultured bacterium
Lineage: Bacteria
Description: partial 16S ribosomal RNA
Rfam family: Bacterial small subunit ribosomal RNA
Source: RNAcentral